Molecule: transfer RNA, 64 nt
Filed under: Crepidodera aurata
Lineage: Eukaryota; Metazoa; Arthropoda; Insecta; Coleoptera; Chrysomelidae
Description: tRNA-Thr
Rfam family: tRNA
About the family: Transfer RNA (tRNA) molecules are approximately 80 nucleotides in length. Their secondary structure includes four short double-helical elements and three loops (D, anti-codon, and T loops). Further hydrogen bonds mediate the characteristic L-shaped molecular structure. tRNAs have two regions of fundamental functional importance: the anti-codon, which is responsible for specific mRNA codon recognition, and the 3' end, to which the tRNAs corresponding amino acid is attached (by aminoacyl-tRNA synthetases). tRNAs cope with the degeneracy of the genetic code in two manners: having more than one tRNA (with a specific anti-codon) for a particular amino acid; and 'wobble' base-pairing, i.e. permitting non-standard base-pairing at the 3rd anti-codon position.
Source: RNAcentral
GUUUUAGUAAUUUAAAUAAAAUAUUGGUCUUGUAAAUCAAAUAUAAGUGUCAACUUCUAAAACU